RNAcentral lists this ribosomal RNA (461 nucleotides) under uncultured Desulfovibrio sp. Its description in RNAcentral is "bacterial SSU rRNA". It matches the Rfam family "Bacterial small subunit ribosomal RNA", at positions 925 to 1382 of the family's 1533-position model. Lineage: Bacteria; Pseudomonadati; Thermodesulfobacteriota; Desulfovibrionia; Desulfovibrionales; Desulfovibrionaceae. The record is from RNAcentral.
ACAAGCGGUGGAGUAUGUGGUUUAAUUCGACGCAACGCGCAGAACCUUACCUAGACUUGACAUCCCGGGGAUUUUCUGGAAACAGAGAAGUGCUUUAGCAAUAAAGAACCCGGUGACAGGUGCUGCAUGGCUGUCGUCAGCUCGUGUCGUGAGAUGUUGGGUUAAGUCCCGCAACGAGCGCAACCCUCGCCUUUAGUUGCCAGCAUUCAGUUGGGCACUCUAGAGGGACUGCCGGUGUCAAACCGGAGGAAGUGGGGAUGACGUCAGGUCCUCAUGGCCUUUAUGUCUAGGGCUACACACGUACUACAAUGGCCGGUACAAAGGGCAGCCACUCAGCGAUGAGGCGCUAAUCCCAUAAAGCCGGUCUCAGUCCGGAUCGCAGUCUGCAACUCGACUGCGUGAAGUUGGAAUCGCUAGUAAUCGUAGGUCAGCAUACUGCGGUGAAUACGUUCCCGGGCCUU